AGCGAACGCUGGCGGCAGGCCUAACACAUGCAAGUCGAACGAUCCUUCGGGAUAGUAGCGGACGGGUGAGUAACACGUGGGAAUAUGCCUUUUGGUUUGGGAUAACUGAGGGAAACUUCAGCUAAUACCGGAUAAGCCCUAUGGGGGAAAGGAUUUAUCGCCGAAAGAGUAGCCCGCGUUGGAUUAGCUAGUUGGUGGGGUAAGUGGCCCACCAAGGCUACGAUCCAUAGCUGGUCUGAGAGGAUGAUCAGCCACACUGGGACUGAGACACGGCCCAGACUCCUACGGGAGGCAGCAGUGGGGAAUCUUGCGCAAUGGGCGAAAGCCUGACGCAGCCAUGCCGCGUGAAUGAUGAAGGUCUUAGGAUUGUAAAUUCUUUUAGCAGGGACGAUAAUGACGGUACCUGCAGAAAAGCCCCGGCUAACUUCGUGCCAGCAGCCGCAGUAAU
Molecule: ribosomal RNA, 448 nt
Filed under: uncultured bacterium
Lineage: Bacteria
Description: bacterial SSU rRNA
Rfam family: Bacterial small subunit ribosomal RNA
Source: RNAcentral